CCAACAUGGUGAAACCCCGUCUCUACUAAAAAUACAAAAAUUAGCUAGGCGUGGUGGUGUAUGAUUAACUUAAUACCUGUAAAUGACUUUCCACUUCUUGUAAGACCUUGAAGCACACUCUGAAAUUUCUAGUUGAUGUGUUUGAAUCUCAAUGGGACAGAUAAGUUGAAAGUAUAGAAAAAAUAAGACAUACCAUGUAAACAUUCAUUUUGUAAAAAGAAAUCAGAAGUGGCUAUAAGAAAAAGUAGACCUCAGAGCAAAAAAAAAAAAAAAAAAAAAAGUACCGAAACAAAGAGAGAUCCUAGUGAUAUGACUAGAAAUCCUACAGCUAUUAAAACGAGAAUAAGGGAACCCUACCAGCAAUUCUAUGCCAUGAUUAGAUUUUCUCCCUCACUUUACAUUUUAUUAGUAAAAUAGAUAAUUUUGAAACCUUUAAUCUUAUUUCUCAAGUUUUUGAGAAUCUAGAGGUUUAGCCAAGGUAGACUUAUUAAUAUUACACUAAUAACAUUAUCAAGGGAUCAGAAACUUUAGGUAAAGUUUAUUUCCCAGUCCUGCAGUCUCUUGUGUUUCUGAAUGACUCUCCAGAGCAGCU
RNAcentral lists this long non-coding RNA (592 nucleotides) under Pan troglodytes (chimpanzee). RNAcentral's name for it is "long non-coding RNA NONPTRT012593". The record is from RNAcentral. Lineage: Eukaryota; Metazoa; Chordata; Mammalia; Primates; Hominidae.